CGGGACGGGUGAGUAAUGUCUGGGAAACUGCCUGAUGGGAGGGGGUAACUACUGGAAACGGUAGCUAAUACCGCAUAACGUCGCAGACCAAAGAGGGGGACCUUCGGGCCUCUUGCCAUCGGAUGUGCCCAGAUGGGAUUAGCUAGUAGGUGGGGUAACGGCUCACCUAGGCGACGAUCCCUAGCUGGUCUGAGAGGAUGACCAGCCACACUGGAACUGAGACACGGUCCAG
RNAcentral lists this ribosomal RNA (232 nucleotides) under uncultured bacterium. RNAcentral's name for it is "partial 16S ribosomal RNA". It matches the Rfam family "Bacterial small subunit ribosomal RNA", at positions 100 to 334 of the family's 1533-position model. The record is from RNAcentral.